RNAcentral lists this transfer RNA (87 nucleotides) under Salinicola acroporae. Its description in RNAcentral is "tRNA-Leu". It matches the Rfam family "tRNA". From Rfam's summary of the family: Transfer RNA (tRNA) molecules are approximately 80 nucleotides in length. Their secondary structure includes four short double-helical elements and three loops (D, anti-codon, and T loops). The record is from RNAcentral. Lineage: Bacteria; Pseudomonadati; Pseudomonadota; Gammaproteobacteria; Oceanospirillales; Halomonadaceae. RNAcentral also lists the same sequence under 2 other names.
GCCCGGAUGGCGGAAUUGGUAGACGCGCUAGCUUCAGGUGCUAGUAUCCUUACGGAUGUGGAGGUUCAAGUCCUCUUCCGGGCACCA